RNAcentral lists this ribosomal RNA (450 nucleotides) under uncultured bacterium. RNAcentral's name for it is "bacterial SSU rRNA". It matches the Rfam family "Bacterial small subunit ribosomal RNA", at positions 329 to 796 of the family's 1533-position model. The record is from RNAcentral.
UCCCAGACUCCUACGGGAGGCAGCAGUGGGGAAUAUUGGGCAAUGGGCGAAAGCCUGACCCAGCAACGCCGCGUGAAGGAAGAAGGCUUUCGGGUUGUAAACUUCUUUUGACAGGGAAGAGCAGAAGACGGUACCUGUCGAAUAAGCCACGGCUAACUACGUGCCAGCAGCCGCGGUAAUACGUAGGUGGCAAGCGUUGUCCGGAUUUACUGGGUGUAAAGGGCGUGUAGCCGGGCUGACAAGUCAGAUGUGAAAUCCGGGGGCUCAACCCCCGAACUGCAUUUGAAACUGUUGGUCUUGAGUAUCGGAGAGGCAGGCGGAAUUCCUAGUGUAGCGGUGAAAUGCGUAGAUAUCGCGCAGAACUCCGAUUGCGAAGGCAGCAUGCCGGCUCCACACUGACGCUGAGGCACGAAAGCGUGGGUAUCGAACAGGAUUAGAUACCCCGGUACC